ACGGCCUUUAUGAUGAAACAUUUUCGGAUGAAAAACAUACUUGUCUGAAUUGCGCAAACAACCCCAUGUUGAUAUUUCCGUUGCCUUCCUUCUGAUCCGGCGA
RNAcentral lists this small nucleolar RNA (103 nucleotides) under Sporothrix schenckii ATCC 58251. RNAcentral describes it as "Small nucleolar RNA Z13/snr52". It matches the Rfam family "Small nucleolar RNA Z13/snr52". From Rfam's summary of the family: Z13 or snr52 is a member of the C/D class of snoRNA which contain the C (UGAUGA) and D (CUGA) box motifs. Most of the members of the box C/D family function in directing site-specific 2'-O-methylation of substrate RNAs. The record is from Rfam by way of RNAcentral. Lineage: Eukaryota; Fungi; Ascomycota; Sordariomycetes; Ophiostomatales; Ophiostomataceae.